AGCGAACGCUGGCGGCAGGCCUAACACAUGCAAGUCGAACGAGCUCUUCGGACUUAGUGGCGGACGGGUGAGUAACACGUGGGAACGUGCCUUUAGGUUCGGAAUAACUCAGGGAAACUUGUGCUAAUACCGAAUGUGCCCUUCGGGGGAAAGAUUUAUCGCCUUUAGAGCGGCCCGCGUCUGAUUAGCUAGUUGGUGAGGUAAAGGCUCACCAAGGCGACGAUCAGUAGCUGGUCUGAGAGGAUGAUCAGCCACAUUGGGACUGAGACACGGCCCAAACUCCUACGGGAGGAAGGAGUAGGGAAUCUUGCGCAAUGGGCGAAAGCCUGACGCAGCCAUGCCGCGUGAAUGAUGAAGGUCUUAGGAUUGUAAAAUUCUUUCACCGGGGACGAUAAUGACGGUACCCGGAGAAGAAGCCCCGGCUAACUUCGUG
This 433-nucleotide ribosomal RNA is filed under the name uncultured bacterium. RNAcentral's name for it is "partial 16S ribosomal RNA". It matches the Rfam family "Bacterial small subunit ribosomal RNA", at positions 29 to 507 of the family's 1533-position model. The record is from RNAcentral.